Epilithonimonas sp. is the source of this 88-nucleotide non-coding RNA. NCBI's taxonomy places the organism in Bacteria, Pseudomonadati, Bacteroidota, Flavobacteriia, Flavobacteriales, Weeksellaceae. The record is from Rfam.
UCUUGGCACAGCGCGUAAGGGAUAGUAGUGGAUAUCCUUUUUCUGUUCUCUGAACAGGAAAAGAUAGGAACGGAUAGCCCGACCCGGG